AAUUUUGGACAAUGGGCGCAAGCCUCAUCCAGCCAUGCCGCGUGAGUGAACAAGGACGUCGAGUUGUAAAGCUCUCUUGGUCGGAAAGAAAACCCGCACACUGAUACCCUGCGCGGCUGACGGUAUCGUCAUAAGAUGCACCGGCUAACCACGUCUCAACAUGCGCGGUAAUACGUAGGGUGCGAGCGUUAAUCGGAAUUACUGGGCGUAAAGCGUGCGCAGGCGGUUGAAUAAGACAGGAGUGGAAUCCCCGGGCUUAACCUGGGAACUGCGCUUGUGACUGGUCAGCUAGAGUACGGCAGAGGGGGGUGGAAUUCCAAGUGUAGCAGUGAAAUGCGUAGAGAUGUGGAGGAACACCGAUGGCGAAGGCAGCCCCCUGGGCCGAUACUGACGCUCAUGCACGAAAGCGUGGGUAGCAAACAGG
This 424-nucleotide ribosomal RNA is filed under the name uncultured bacterium. Its description in RNAcentral is "partial 16S ribosomal RNA". It matches the Rfam family "Bacterial small subunit ribosomal RNA", at positions 360 to 776 of the family's 1533-position model. The record is from RNAcentral.